UGUCCCCACAUCCCAAUGUCCCCAGUGUCCCUGUGUCCUCCAUGUCCCCAAUGUCCCCAGUGUCCCCAUGUCCCCGUGUCCCCAUGUCUCUGUGUCCCCAUGUCCCCAUGUCCCUGUGUCCCCAGUGUCACC
RNAcentral lists this long non-coding RNA (132 nucleotides) under Numida meleagris (helmeted guineafowl). RNAcentral's name for it is "lncRNA (ENSNMEG00000001218.1)". The record is from RNAcentral. Lineage: Eukaryota; Metazoa; Chordata; Aves; Galliformes; Numididae.